CUUGACAUCCAGAGAACUUGGCAGAGAUGCCUCGGUGCCUUCGGGAACUCUGAGACAGGUGCUGCAUGGCUGUCGUCAGCUCGUGUUGUGAAAUGUUGGGUUAAGUCCCGCAACGAGCGCAACCCCCUAUCCUUUGUUGCCAGCGAUUCGGUCGGGAACUCAAAGGAGACUGCCGGUGAUAAACCGGAGGAAGGUGGGGAUGACGUCAAGUCAUCAUGGCCCUUACGAGUAGGGCUACACACGUGCUACAAUGGCGUAUACAAAGAGAAGCGACCUCGCGAGAGCAAGCGGACCUCAUAAAGUACGUCGUAGUCCGGAUUGGAGUCUGCAACUCGACUCCAUGAAGUCGGAAUCGCUAGUAAUCGUAGAUCAGAAUGCUACGGUGAAUACGUUCCCGGGCCUUGUACACACCGCCCGUCACACCAUGGGAGUGGGUUGCAAAAGAAGUAGAUAGCUUAACCUUCGGGAGGGCGUUUACCACUUUGUGAUUCAUGACUGGGGUGAAGUCGUAACAAGGUAGGCGUACGUGU
This 530-nucleotide ribosomal RNA is filed under the name uncultured bacterium. RNAcentral's name for it is "bacterial SSU rRNA". It matches the Rfam family "Bacterial small subunit ribosomal RNA", at positions 980 to 1509 of the family's 1533-position model. The record is from RNAcentral.